This 253-nucleotide ribosomal RNA is filed under the name uncultured bacterium. Its description in RNAcentral is "partial 16S ribosomal RNA". It matches the Rfam family "Bacterial small subunit ribosomal RNA", at positions 524 to 776 of the family's 1533-position model. The record is from RNAcentral.
UACAGAGGGGGCAAGCGUUAUUCGGAAUUAUUGGGCGUAAAGCGCACGUAGGCGGCCUUGCAAGUCGGAUGUGAAAUCCCUCGGCUCAACCGAGGACGUGCAUUCGAAACUGCUUGGCUCGAGUAUGGAAGAGGGUCGCGGAAUUCCCGGUGUAGAGGUGAAAUUCGUAGAUAUCGGGAGGAACACCAGUGGCGAAGGCGGCGACCUGGGCCAAUACUGACGCUGAGGUGCGAAAGCGUGGGGAGCAAACAGG